Molecule: ribosomal RNA, 460 nt
Filed under: uncultured bacterium
Lineage: Bacteria
Description: partial 16S ribosomal RNA
Rfam family: Bacterial small subunit ribosomal RNA
Source: RNAcentral
CCUACGGGUGGCAGCAGUGAGGAAUAUUGGUCAAUGGGCGCGAGCCUGAACCAGCCAAGUCGCGUGAAGGAUGACUGCCCUACGGGUUGUAAACUUCUUUUAUCAAGGAGUAAAGUGAGGCACGUGUGCCUUUUUGUAUGUACUUUAUGAAUAAGGAUCGGCUAACUCCGUGCCAGCAGCCGCGGUAAUACGGAGGAUCCGAGCGUUAUCCGGAUUUAUUGGGUUUAAAGGGAGCGUAGAUGGGUUGUUAAGUCAGUUGUGAAAUUGUGCGGCUCAACCGUAAAAUUGCAAUUGAUACUGGCAGUCUUGAGUACAGUUGAGGUAGGCGGAAUUCGUGGUGUAGCGGUGAAAUGCAUAGAGAUCACGAAGAACUCCGAUUGCGAAGGCAGCUUACUAGACUGCCACUGACAUUGAUGCUCGAAAGUGUGGGUAGCAAACAGGAUUAGAUACCCGAGUAGUC